AAAAGGGAGGCUGACUACAGAAAGCAGGAGUUUGAAAUUAGGGAGGUAAUUUACAUUCUAUGCAGGUCACGAGAAAUUUCUGUUGGAACUCUGGCAAUGAAAAUAACAACCACAAAAGUAACCAAGAAUGCAGGUACCCUCCCCACUGCACAGUCAUGGAGACAAUGUCGGUCCUGCAGAGAGAAUGAAGCUACCAAAGAGAACACAGAUACAGAACACAGAUGCUCAAGUUAAGCCAAGCCACAGCAUUCCCCCGUCCUUUUCAUUAAAAAAUUAAACAGCCAUCCGGGAAGAUGCCAAGCAAAUUGGUGAGAGGCCAAGACUUCAGUAGAAAUCAGCUGAUAGAAAUUCUGUACUAAAAGACUUUUCUUUGAGAAAGUUAAACACUGUCUGGGAUGAGCACUAAGUGCCCUGAAAUAGCGGGACUCGUAGUUGGACAAGAAAAACAGAUCACCUAGUAGGGGGUCUAAAAAGAACGUAGAUUAUUCUCUCAGCCACUGUGUAGGCUUAUAAUCAAUUCUUUAGAGAGAAAGAACAGGAAACCCAUAGCAGACUCACUCUAAAAUCUUUACUGUAAACAUCUCAUUAUAGUAUGACCUCAGUCAUUCUUCUAAAAAAAAAAACACAUCCUUUUGUCUUUAUAAAGUCUUAAGUGAACUAGGCUUUGUGCUAGACGUUGGAGACACGUGGUGAACAAGACAGAGCAGCGCCCGUGGAGUUCACGAUCUACUAGAAGAGACGGACAUUAAACAAGUAAUCACACACAUGUCAUUGUAAGCUUUGAUGGUGCUCAGAAUAGGAAGUAGUCAGCGAAGAUAAUAUCAGGGGCUUUUAGAUUUGGGGGUCAGAGACAACUUUUAGAGAGAGUGCUCGUAAUGCCAUUCCCUGAAAAAUAAUGGAGCAUUAAUUAGCCAGGGAAAGAACUGCAGUAGUUCACGCCAGGGAAUUCCACUGGAAGGCUCUGGAGUGGGAAAUGUGGGGGGUGGUCCAGGAAGUGGGAGAAGGCCUGUGCUGUGAGCAUCAGCAGUGGGAUGAAAAGCCUGUGGGGGGUGAGGCCAGACCCCCAGACCGUGUGGCUGCAUUAGCAUCUUGUUUUCUCCCAAAACAGGUCAAGUCACUGAAGGCUUUUAGGCAUAUACAACUGACAUGUUCAGAUUUGUGUUUUUAAUCCAUCAUUCCAAUUGCAGUAUUGAAAAUGAGUUUGAGGGACCACAAUAGAAAAAAGAAGUCCAUGUGCGAAGCUUGCAACCUGGCCAUGAGAGUCAAGGUUAUGGUGAGCACAACCAAAUAUGAAGACCCCUUUGCUACAGCAGGUCCUUAAGACCUCCUAUCUUCCUGGGUGCUCCAUGCUACAGAGUGGCACCCAAACCAUAGGAGAAAUAACUGAGGUUCCUCAAGCAGUAAAACUUGUAUUUGCAUUAAAUUUAGUUGAAUCAAAGCCAGGGAAAGAACUGCAGUAGUUCACGCCAGGGAAUUCCACUGGAAGUGUCGAAAAUAACUUUAGCCAUAUGGAAGGCUGUGAAAGAAUGGAUUUGACACAGUGAAAUAAGUAGCUGGAAUGUCAGACUGAGACUGUGAAACGAUUAGUUUCGCUGAUGUGCGAGGGUUUGAAGAAGCCACCGGAAUUCGGGGCAGUUGAGCAAGAGAGGAAUUAAGCAGAUGAAAAUCAAAUUAUCAUACUGAAUUUAUUAAAAGCAAAGUUGAAGCA
Molecule: long non-coding RNA, 1708 nt
Organism: Rhinolophus ferrumequinum (greater horseshoe bat)
Lineage: Eukaryota; Metazoa; Chordata; Mammalia; Chiroptera; Rhinolophidae
Exons: 2
Source: RefSeq, a predicted model, not a curated record